GCCUGGUUACUAGAAAACAAUUGUUGAUUUUAUCUUAUGUGAAUGUUUUUCAGGGCUUCCCUCUUUGCUCUGCUGAUUGUGGACAUUUGCUGCUUUCCUCAUCAGAAAGGCUCUGAUCCGGGUGCUUCUUAUGGCAGGGGUUACCCAAACGCUGCUCCUACUUUUGACUCGUACAAGGGAGCUCCUUCUGGGCAGUAUUCACCUGCAGCUGUUCUGCCUAACAAUGCUCCUUCUAAAGGAGUCUUCACACCAUCUUAUCAGGCUGACCCGCAGCCUACUGCUCAAAGAGGACCAGAACCAUCUGUUGGCUCCAGUUUUCUUCUGGACCUGUGUCAGGAUACAGUGACUCUUCAGUGAGGAGAAACCCUGCGAGCCCUUCACAAAAGGGAGCUGCUUUUCAACCUGGCCUGCAAGAAAUCAACUGGGCUGUUGCUCCACCCAGUCCCUUCUCUCCAGAUGAGGGCAUUUCAUCUGGCACUCAUGGCGUUGUAUCCAGUCUACCUCAGCAAAUGAGUCCACCUCUCCCACCGCCUGGACCAAUGUACCAGGCAGGAGAGCUUUCCCAUUUUGAGAAUAGCUUUGAGCGUGCUAACUCUGAGAGGAAACCGAGGAAACGGGUUUGUAUCCUCCUCCUCCUCCACUACCGCCAUACGUUCCGCAAGAGUCUGCUGGACAAGGCUUCAUCUACCAACCUCAGCCAAACUCCUACAUCAGUGGAAGCUGGGACUAUUACCCUUACUAUGACUUCAUGUUCCUGACCGGCCAGUAUCCUCCAGGCACAGUCAGUCACUUCAGCAGCAGCUACGAGCAGGGGAGAGACUACUGG
This is a long non-coding RNA of Anoplopoma fimbria (sablefish), 826 nucleotides long. RefSeq lists it as uncharacterized. Lineage: Eukaryota; Metazoa; Chordata; Actinopteri; Perciformes; Anoplopomatidae. The transcript has 3 exons. The record is from RefSeq and is a predicted model, not a curated record.